Molecule: ribosomal RNA, 497 nt
Filed under: uncultured bacterium
Lineage: Bacteria
Description: partial 16S ribosomal RNA
Rfam family: Bacterial small subunit ribosomal RNA
Source: RNAcentral
GAUGAACGCUGGCGGCGUGCCUAAUACAUGCAAGUCGAGCGAACAGAUAAGGAGCUUGCUCCUUUGACGUUAGCGGCGGACGGGUGAGUAACACGUGGGUAACCUACCUAUAAGACUGGGAUAACUUCGGGAAACCGGAGCUAAUACCGGAUAACAUUUGGAACCGCAUGGUUCUAAAGUGAAAGAUGGUUUUGCUAUCACUUAUAGAUGGACCCGCGCCGUAUUAGCUAGUUGGUAAGGUAACGGCUUACCAAGGCAACGAUACGUAGCCGACCUGAGAGGGUGGUCGGCCACACUGGAACUUAAGCACGGUCCAGACUCCUACGGGAGGCAGCAGUAGGGAAUCUUCCGCAAUGGGCGAAAGCCUGACGGAGCAACGCCGCGUGAGUGAUGAAGGGUUUCGGCUCGUAAAACUCUGUUAUUAGGGAAGAACAAAUGUGUAAGUAACUGUGCACGUCUUGACGGUACCUAAUCAGAAAGCCACGGCUAACUACGUG